This 1157-nucleotide ribosomal RNA is filed under the name Escherichia fergusonii. RNAcentral's name for it is "bacterial SSU rRNA". It matches the Rfam family "Bacterial small subunit ribosomal RNA", at positions 49 to 1197 of the family's 1533-position model. The record is from RNAcentral. Lineage: Bacteria; Pseudomonadati; Pseudomonadota; Gammaproteobacteria; Enterobacterales; Enterobacteriaceae.
CUACACAUGCAGUCGAACGGUAACAGGAAGCAGCUUGCUGCUUUGCUGACGAGUGGCGGACGGGUGAGUAAUGUCUGGGAAACUGCCUGAUGGAGGGGGAUAACUACUGGAAACGGUAGCUAAUACCGCAUAACGUCGCAAGACCAAAGAGGGGGACCUUCGGGCCUCUUGCCAUCGGAUGUGCCCAGAUGGGAUUAGCUAGUAGGUGGGGUAACGGCUCACCUAGGCGACGAUCCCUAGCUGGUCUGAGAGGAUGACCAGCCACACUGGAACUGAGACACGGUCCAGACUCCUACGGGAGGCAGCAGUGGGGAAUAUUGCACAAUGGGCGCAAGCCUGAUGCAGCCAUGCCGCGUGUAUGAAGAAGGCCUUCGGGUUGUAAAGUACUUUCAGCGGGGAGGAAGGGAGUAAAGUUAAUACCUUUGCUCAUUGACGUUACCCGCAGAAGAAGCACCGGCUAACUCCGUGCCAGCAGCCGCGGUAAUACGGAGGGUGCAAGCGUUAAUCGGAAUUACUGGGCGUAAAGCGCACGCAGGCGGUUUGUUAAGUCAGAUGUGAAAUCCCCGGGCUCAACCUGGGAACUGCAUCUGAUACUGGCAAGCUUGAGUCUCGUAGAGGGGGGUAGAAUUCCAGGUGUAGCGGUGAAAUGCGUAGAGAUCUGGAGGAAUACCGGUGGCGAAGGCGGCCCCCUGGACGAAGACUGACGCUCAGGUGCGAAAGCGUGGGGAGCAAACAGGAUUAGAUACCCUGGUAGUCCACGCCGUAAACGAUGUCGACUUGGAGGUUGUGCCCUUGAGGCGUGGCUUCCGGAGCUAACGCGUUAAGUCGACCGCCUGGGGAGUACGGCCGCAAGGUUAAAACUCAAAUGAAUUGACGGGGGCCCGCACAAGCGGUGGAGCAUGUGGUUUAAUUCGAUGCAACGCGAAGAACCUUACCUGGUCUUGACAUCCACGGAAGUUUUCAGAGAUGAGAAUGUGCCUUCGGGAACCGUGAGACAGGUGCUGCAUGGCUGUCGUCAGCUCGUGUUGUGAAAUGUUGGGUUAAGUCCCGCAACGAGCGCAACCCUUAUCCUUUGUUGCCAGCGGUCCGGCCGGGAACUCAAAGGAGACUGCCAGUGAUAAACUGGAGGAAGGUGGGGAUGACGUCAAGUCAUCAUG